Long non-coding RNA from Ostrea edulis (European flat oyster), 352 nucleotides. RefSeq lists it as uncharacterized. NCBI's taxonomy places the organism in Eukaryota, Metazoa, Mollusca, Bivalvia, Ostreida, Ostreidae. The transcript has 2 exons. The record is from RefSeq and is a predicted model, not a curated record.
CAAAAACAGCGUCAGUAACAAGAAGUGUCAGAUAGCCAAAAAGAUCGAGAAUUACGCUUUUCAAAGAGAUAUUUUCCAUCCAGAGAGGAAAUUAUAAGAAUGAUGAUCCAGAGGCCUUGGGCAAUGCUUUCCAGUCGAUAAAAUAUGGAAUGAGUGUCCAUGCUGAAUUGUUACUGCCAAAUGUUUCCAAGUCCCCUAGACAACUUUAAAAUAUGAUAAAUGGGCGUAAUAACAUUGGGUGUGUGUCUUCAGGACCUUCACCACUAUUUAAAAUUGUUUGAAGUUGCUUUAUUUGUUCAUUAUUUAAUGUAAUCAAUUUGGUCGAAAAAAUAAGAAUAAAAGAAUCAUUCUA